UCAGACUGAUAUUUGAGCUUGACUUGAGUAGCAGUUAUUUUGCAUUUGCAAAGCCUUCAAAGCGAUUUAUCAAAGCAUUCUUUCAACCUACAAGACACAGAAGAAGAUUACUUCAGACUGAGAAUGGAGCCUAGACGAUCUACACGUGUUCGCCAGCGCCCCCGGUGGUUCACCGACUACGUCGUGGACUUUCCUGUGCGAAGGUCCAGGGUGAAGCCGAUGGUGAUGGCUGAUGAUGCUCCUCAUCAUCCUGAGAAGGUUGCAGUGCUGCCUCUUCCUGAGGCUUUACAGGAGCUGCCUGUGGA
Molecule: long non-coding RNA, 305 nt
Organism: Saccostrea cuccullata (small rock oyster)
Lineage: Eukaryota; Metazoa; Mollusca; Bivalvia; Ostreida; Ostreidae
Exons: 3
Source: RefSeq, a predicted model, not a curated record